This is a non-coding RNA of Leucobacter komagatae, 379 nucleotides long. It matches the Rfam family "Bacterial RNase P class A". From Rfam's summary of the family: Ribonuclease P (RNase P) is a ubiquitous endoribonuclease, found in archaea, bacteria and eukarya as well as chloroplasts and mitochondria. The record is from Rfam. Lineage: Bacteria; Bacillati; Actinomycetota; Actinomycetes; Micrococcales; Microbacteriaceae.
AUGGGCCGGUGGACGGUUGCGUCGCGUGUCGCUUGCGACAUCGCGCCGAGGAACGUCCGGGCUCCGCAGGGGAGAACGGUGGGUAACGCCCACCCGGGGUAACCCGCGAGAAAGUGCAACAGAGAGUAGACCGCCUGCCGUGGUUCGCCGUGGCCGGUAAGGCUGAAAGGGUGGGGUAAGAGCCCACCGGCGUUCGUGGUAACACGGGCGGCCAGGUAAACCUCGUUCGGAGCAAGGCCAGACAGCAGACGAUGACGCGCCCCGCCGAGUCUGCGGGUGGGCUGCUAGAGGGUACUGGCAACAGUGCCCCGAGAGAGAUAACCGUCUAAGUUGGCUUCGGCCAACGGGACAGAACCCGGCGUACAGCUGGCCCAUUCCU